This 1372-nucleotide ribosomal RNA is filed under the name uncultured bacterium. RNAcentral describes it as "bacterial SSU rRNA". It matches the Rfam family "Bacterial small subunit ribosomal RNA", at positions 28 to 1381 of the family's 1533-position model. The record is from RNAcentral.
GAUGAGCGCUGGCGGCGUGCCUAAUACAUGCAAGUCGAGCGAACGGACGAGAAGCUUGCUUCUCUGAUGUUAGCGGCGGACGGGUGAGUAACACGUGGAUAACCUACCUAUAAGACUGGGAUAACUUCGGGAAACCGGAGCUAAUACCGGAUAAUAUUUUGAACCGCAUGGUUCAAAAGUGAAAGACGGUCUUGCUGUCACUUAUAGAUGGAUCCGCGCUGCAUUAGCUAGUUGGUAAGGUAACGGCUUACCAAGGCAACGAUGCAUAGCCGACCUGAGAGGGUGAUCGGCCACACUGGAACUGAGACACGGUCCAGACUCCUACGGGAGGCAGCAGUAGGGAAUCUUCCGCAAUGGGCGAAAGCCUGACGGAGCAACGCCGCGUGAGUGAUGAAGGUCUUCGGAUCGUAAAACUCUGUUAUUAGGGAAGAACAUAUGUGUAAGUAACUGUGCACAUCUUGACGGUACCUAAUCAGAAAGCCACGGCUAACUACGUGCCAGCAGCCGCGGUAAUACGUAGGUGGCAAGCGUUAUCCGGAAUUAUUGGGCGUAAAGCGCGCGUAGGCGGUUUUUUAAGUCUGAUGUGAAAGCCCACGGCUCACCCGUGGAGGGUCAUUGGAAACUGGAAAACUUGAGUGCAGAAGAGGAAAGUGGAAUUCCAUGUGUAGCGGUGAAAUGCGCAGAGAUAUGGAGGAACACCAGUGGCGAAGGCGACUUUCUGGUCUGUAACUGACGCUGAUGUGCGAAAGCGUGGGGAUCAAACAGGAUUAGAUACCCUGGUAGUCCACGCCGUAAACGAUGAGUGCUAAGUGUUAGGGGGUUUCCGCCCCUUAGUGCUGCAGCUAACGCAUUAAGCACUCCGCCUGGGGAGUACGACCGCAAGGUUGAAACUCAAAGGAAUUGACGGGGACCCGCACAAGCGGUGGAGCAUGUGGUUUAAUUCGAAGCAACGCGAAGAACCUUACCAAAUCUUGACAUCCUUUGACAACUCUAGAGAUAGAGCUUUCCCCUUCGGGGGACAAAGUGACAGGUGGUGCAUGGUUGUCGUCAGCUCGUGUCGUGAGAUGUUGGGUUAAGUCCCGCAACGAGCGCAACCCUUAAGCUUAGUUGCCAUCAUUAAGUUGGGCACUCUAAGUUGACUGCCGGUGACAAACCGGAGGAGGGUGGGGAUGACGUCAAAUCAUCAUGCCCCUUAUGAUUUGGGCUACACACGUGCUACAAUGGACAAUACAAAGGGCAGCGAAACCGCGAGGUCAAGCAAAUCCCAUAAAGUUGUUCUCAGUUCGGAUUGUAGUCUGCAACUCGACUACAUGAAGCUGGAAUCGCUAGUAAUCGUAGAUCAGCAUGCUACGGUGAAUACGUUCCCGGGUCU